ACUCAAAUGAAUUGACGGGGAUCCGCACAAGCAGUGGAGCAUGUGGUUUAAUUCGAUGCUACGCGAAAAACCUUACCAGCCCUUGUAUCCUCACUAUGAUUUCCAGAGAUGGAUUUCUUCACUUCGGGUGGGUGAGAGACAGGUGUUGCAUGGCUGUCGUCAGCUCGUGUCGUGAGAUGUUAGGUUAAGUCCUUCAACGAGCGCAACCCUCAUCCUUAUUUGCCAUCAGGUUAUGCUGGGAACUAUAAGGAAACUGCCAACGACAAGUUGGAGGAAGGUGGGGAUGAUGUCAAGUCAUCAUGGCCCUUAUGGGCUGGGCUACACACAUGCUACAAUGGUGAUUACAACGGGUAUGCAAAACAGCAAUGUCGAGCUAAUCCUUCAAAAGUCAUCUCAGUUCAGAUUGGGGGCUGCAACUCGCCCCCAUGAAGUUGGAAUUGCUAGUAAUCGUGGAUCAGCACGCCACGGUGAAUACGUUCUCGGGUCUUGUACACACCGCCCGU
Molecule: ribosomal RNA, 503 nt
Filed under: uncultured bacterium
Lineage: Bacteria
Description: partial 16S ribosomal RNA
Rfam family: Bacterial small subunit ribosomal RNA
Source: RNAcentral